Molecule: unclassified non-coding RNA, 1111 nt
Filed under: Bombus terrestris (buff-tailed bumblebee)
Lineage: Eukaryota; Metazoa; Arthropoda; Insecta; Hymenoptera; Apidae
Description: misc RNA ENSBTSG00005025341.1
Source: RNAcentral
AUUUUUUCUCUGACUGCAUCGCUGCAUCUAAGCUUUGCGUUACGAAGUCAUGUCGUAUUAUGAUGUCAGAGUGAUGUCAUUCCUUUAUAGACACUCGAUAUUUGUACAUUGUGUAAAACUUUGCGGUGAAUAUUAUAAAUAAUUUACAAUUGCGUUUCUUUUUUUAAACUCGUGGCAACCGAAUAAAUAUGCAUUUGCGCGCAUGCAUAAUCGUACACUUGUAUUCGUUGUAUCGCGUUAAAACGAUAGCAACACUUUUAGAAUAGUCGAAGAGAGCUAAUGAAAACGUCUAUGUAUAAACAGCGCGAUGUUUGUCAGUUAGAAAUUUUCAGAAUUUUCACCAAUGUCUGGUUAUUUUUGACUUAUGUGUACACGUGAAACGUUAUUUCCACAGAUUACGUGAAUUUUUAUCGCGUUUUAACAACGCAAGAUAUAAAUUCGAUUUCACCAUCGCGUACGAUGUUACAGAUGACGAAAAGAUACAUACUAUCGCGAUUGCGUACGUAUUACAAAAUACGAGAGAUUAUAAAAUCUUUACUAUCGGUGCGAUCAAUAAAAUUAAAAGUGGUGAGAAAGAGAGUUCAACGACAUGGAUUUAUCAGUGGUCAUCUGUAGAGGAUAAUCUGAGGUUUCAUCACGCGCAGUUCGUCGUUGUAACGACAGCAACGCAGUCAAUAACCAAACUAUCUACUCUAGAUGCCAAGCCUCCUGUGACCGUUAUCUCGUAUUCCCUUAUCGCGAAAAGCCCGAUAAAAUGGCACGCCAUUAUGCGAUCAUUGGAUUCGUAUUAUAGUAUGAAUAGCCAUUGUUUAUAUCGUUUGGCUUAAGCAAUUUCGCUUAAUUGCAUCCGAAGAUUGCAAUUCAUGUGCUUCCACAACGAAUCAAAGUCGUUGAUCAACAACGAUUAUGAUAAAGAAGAUAAAAUUGGUGAAUGGCGGCGUUAAGAUUGCCACGAAAGAAAAAAACGAGAAAAUCGUGUCUACGAUAUCUCGUACAAUUGCUUUCGAACGGAAUCUUUUAAAUUCUCAGUUUGUUAUGUAAAAGAUUAGGAAGGCGAUUGUAAAAUAAAAGUGUAAAAUUAUCAGUUGAAUAGGUUUAAAAAUUAGUUUGC